This is a long non-coding RNA of Oncorhynchus keta (chum salmon), 2170 nucleotides long. RefSeq lists it as uncharacterized. The record is from RefSeq and is a predicted model, not a curated record. The transcript is spliced from 4 exons. NCBI's taxonomy places the organism in Eukaryota, Metazoa, Chordata, Actinopteri, Salmoniformes, Salmonidae.
CCAUACUAUAUACAGGGUCAGUUAAUACCAUACUAUAUACAGGGUCAGUUAAUACCAUACUAUAUACAGGGUCAGUUAAUACCAUACUAUAUACAGGGUCAGUUAAUACCAUACUAUAUACAGGGUCAGUUAAUACCAUACUAUAUACAGGGUCAGUUAAUACCAUACUAUAUACAGGGUCAGUUAAUACCAUACUAUAUACAGGGUCAGUUAAUACCAUACUAUAUACAGGGUCAGUUAAUACCAUACUAUAUACAGGGUCAGUUAAUACCAUACUAUAUACAGGGUCAGUUAAUACCAUACUAUAUACAGGGUCAGUUAAUACCAUACUAUAUACAGGGUCAGUUAAUACCAUACUAUAUACAGGGUCAGUUAAUACCACACUAUAUACAGGGUCAGUUAAUACCAUACUAUAUACAGGGUCAGUUAGUACCAUACUAUAUACAGGGUCAGUUAAUACCAUACUAUAUACAGGGUCAGUUAAUACCAUACUAUAUACAGGGUCAGUUAGUACCAUACUAUAUACAGGGUCAGUUAAUACCAUACUAUAUACAGGGUCAGUACCAUGUGUGUGUGUGUGUGUGUGUGUGCGUGUGUGCGCGUGUGUGCGUGUGUGUGUGUGUGUGUGUGUGUGUGUGUGUGUGUGUGUGUGUGUGUGUGUGUGUGUGUGUGUGUGUGUGUGUGUGUGUGUGUGUGUGUGUGUGAGUGGGUGUGUGUGAGUAUGUGUGUGUGUAUAUGUGUGUGUGUGUGUGUGUGUGUGUGUGUGUGUGUGUGUGUGUGUGUGUGUGUGUGUGUGUGUGUGUGUGUGUGUGUGUGUGUGUGUGUGUGUGUGUGUGUGUGUGUGUGUGUGUGCGCGCGCAUAAUAUGUGUGAGUCAGCAGAUUCUAUAAAUCAUUGUUUUCUAAUCUAUUUUUCGGAUGCAUCAUUUCUGUUCCACGUACAGGUAAAUAUGUUUUUUUAAUGUACAGCUGCGGCGCUUAUAGGGAGUCACCGUUCGCACGUCGUGUUUGUUUACCUCGUUGCUAUGGUCACCAGUGGCCAUGGAGACACCGGCUGCCUGACUGGAUGGGACGGAGACGUUGCACUCAGUGGGGAACUCUGCCGUAUCCCGGUGGGGGUGUCUGCACACAGGGCUUUAUAGUUACCGUUAAUGGUUAGACUUUUGCCUCUUCGUUCUUUAUUGACUGUGCUCGUUGUCUCUGAGGAGUUCUUCAGACUAUAGAGUUUAAAUUAUAUGUUGGCAACAGGGUUAGAGCUCGUUUCGCUUCAAGUAAAACAAGAGAAGUUGAGUGAUUUGUGGCAACGUAUUGUAGCCUGUCUGCGUGUGUGUGUGUGCUCGCGCGUGUCUGUGUGUGUGUGUGUGCGUGCUUGUGUGUGUGUGCGCGCGUGUGUGUGCGUGUGCCACGGGUUACGCCAGGAUACGUGUUGGUCUGAGGUUAGUGGAUGUUGUGUUGUGUUAGGUUUCUGUGACAGCGGCCCAGAUGGGAACAGCAGAUCGCGGAACAGAGCACUGUCUGGUGUGUGUGUGUGUGUGUGUGUGUGUGUGUGUGUGUGUGUGUGUGUGUGUGUGUGUGGUAUUUCCUGCUGUUGUUGAAACACACGCCAUCCUUUUGUGUCCCAAAUGGCUCACUUUUUCCAUUAUAGUGCACUACUUUUGACCAGUACCCUGUGGUGAGAAGCCAAAAAGUAGUGCACUAUAUAACGAAUAGGGUGCAAUUUGGGACGUAUUCUCUUCUUUGAAAAGAGCUUCUAUUCUUCCUCAUUACAUCACUCUCUCCGGUAGUCUAUACAACUACCUCCUCCACUUUACCUCAGGUAGUCUAUACAACUACCUCCUCCACUUUACCUCAGGUAGUCUAUACAACUACCUCCUCCACUUUACCUCAGGUAGUCUAUACAACUACCUCCUCCACUUUACCUCAGGUAGUCUAUACAACUACCUCCUCCACUUUACCUCAGGUAGUCUAUACAACUACCUCCUCCACUUUACCUCAGGGAGUCUAUACAACUACCUCCUCCACUUUACCUCAGGUAGUCUAUACAACUACCUCAUCCACUUUACCUCAGGUAGUCUAUACAACCACCUCCUCCACUUUACCUCAGUUAGUCUUAGUAAAUACAACUACCUCCUCCACUUUACCUCAGGUAGUCUAUACAACUACCUCAUCCAC